CAAACCAACAAAGUACCUGACAUGGUGGACCUUCAAGAGUUGAAGGUGUGGUUAUCUGAAAUUAUGGGUUUAUGAAUUUGAACAGCUUUUAAUAUACCAGCAGUUCCAACAGCAUGGUUCCUGCAAUCCAAAAAAAAAGAGAUAGGAACAAACCAGCUAGUAUAGGCCAAAAGAACAAAGUACAGAACAGCGUUGUAACCACAGAUGGGAUUCAUUUAAUUGUUAGUCUGUUAAUUAAUUGAUAAAUUCUAUGUUUAAUUCUGAUAUAUAAUUAGUUCAUGGCAAAUAAGAAUGCUCUUCCAAAAAACUUGGUGUGUUGUAGUUGGUUAUGGAAAUACAAAUUGUCUUUGAAUAGUUGGUCCCUUCCUAUCCAAAUCUAUUUUAUUGGGUCGAUCAGCUCGACAGAUAUUAUUGUCAACUUUUUUUAACUAGUUUAUUGUGAAUUCUAUUUUUUCACAUUAAUUAAGUUUGUUUUAAACUAGUUCAUUGCAUUAAAAGUCAAUGUAUUGUAUUUUAAUACGUAUAUUGGUAUCACGUUGUCGUCCCAAGAGUGAAGACAUUUGGUUUUCCCACAAUUACUUUAGUAUAUAAAGUAAAUAGAAAUUUAUGAAAUUUAAACACAAUUAAGGUUUAUGAGACAAAAAAAGGAUGGUUGGGAUUGAUUUUAGGAGUUUUGGACCUAACAAUUGUAGGAAUAAGGGAUAAAAAAGGGCCCAAUUAAGCAUUUUUCUUGGUUUUCGCACAACUGUAGUAUAAGUAAAUAGUAAUCUAUGAAACUUAAACAAAGGUUUAGGACCACAAAAGGAAGGUUAAGAUUGAUUUUGGAAAUUUUGGUCCCAAUAGUUUACGAAUCAGGGGCCAAAAGGGUCAUGAACAUAACUUAGUUUGAUUUUAACAAAAAAUGAAUUCUUUAGGUUCUUUGAUAUGCCGAAUUUAAUUUUGUAUUUAGAUUUUUUUUUAUCCUGUUUUCAAAUUGGUCUACAUUAAGGUCCAAAGGGUCUAAAAUUAAACUUUGUUUGAUUUUAACAAAAAUUGAUUUCUUGAGGUUCUUUGAUAUGCUAAAUCUGAACAUGUACUUAGAUUUUUUAUUAUGGGCCCAGUUUUCAAUUUGGUACAAAUCAGGGUCGAGAAUUCAACAAAAAUUGAAUAUAUUUGGUUCCUUGAAUUUAUAGUUUUGAUAUUUGGGACCUGUUAUCAAAUUGGUUCACAUAGAAGUCUAUAGGGUCCCAAUUUGAACUUUAUUUGGUUUCAUCAAAAACUGAAUUCUUGUGGUUCUUUGAUAAGCUGAAUCUAACCAUGUAUUUAGAUUUUGGAUAUUGGACCAUAAAAAGUAAAUGUCCGAUUCAAAAAUUUUAAGUUCUUAUUAAACUUCAUUCAUUCUGUGUCAACUAUUUAAUCACAUUCCAAAUUCAGAGUUGUAUUUAAUAGGCUUGAUUGUUGUGUCCAUACUUGCCCCAACUUUUCAGGGUUCGGUCUCUGCGGUUGCAUAAAUCUGCACCCUGCAGAGCAUUUUUUUAUUAUUUACGAGUUUGUCAUGUAAAAUUUUAUCUCGUUAUCUAUUUUAUUGUAAAUUUUUAAUUAUUUAUUAAAAACUUAAAUCAUAUUUAUGAUAUCAAAGUCCCAAAAACUAUACUUAUUGAAUAAUGCUUUAUUUCACUUUAAAUUAAGCAGCUCCCUUGAAAAGUUGAUCUGUUACCACAUAAAAAAAAAAAUGAAAUUUUUAGUAUAAAUAAAAUUGUGUUGGUUAUGUCAAUCAGUACUUCUUAGUAUCAGUUUUUAUGCAUAGGUGAAGAAUUUUGAAAUGAGAAUUUAUAUAUUUGUUUUAUAUGCCCAUUUAUGGAAGGUAUUGUGGUAUACACAGUCAAUUUUGCAUAGGUACUAUGUCUGUACCAAAAAUCUGUAGUACUGGAAAUAUACUUUUCAUAUUCAGUACUAUUUUGUUGCUCUAAAAUUAUUGUAAUAUUGAGGUUCCUGUAUUUUACAGUACUUGAUUUGUACUUGAAAGUUUUAUAGUUAUUUUAUUUUACUAUAUGACUUUAAAUUAUUUGUUUUCUCAUUGGUAAAAUCCUAGGAAACACUCUUUGAUAAAACAUAUUCACUGUGAAAAAAGAUGUAAUAACUGUAACCAAGAAACAAUAAUUGUAUAUUAUCUAUGUGUUUCUGUGCCACUGCAAAGUAUUUGUAUGGUUAUUAAUCAAGUCAAAUAUUGAGUUAUCUCCCAUAUGAAAAACAGUUUUUCCAUAAUCACAUGGAAAAUCAAAGUAAUCAUUGGAGUCAAAGUUAAAAUGUAUUAGUUCAAAGACUCAGUAGGUUAAUUUCAAGCCAUAGACCAUGAGUUUAAAUGCAAACGAUGUUCCCUGAAUGAAAACAGGUCAAAUAGAUCCUUAAGGAGGCUAGAGGGUAUUAAAAAUGAUAGCAAAAUUUUAAACAUUUCUUUUUUUCAUUACAAAUUUUAAUUAUUACACUAUAAGUUGUUUCUUUAUGUUAUUGUACAAAAAUCAACCAAUAAAACCGAUUAGUUUUGGCCCAGAUGACUAUAUGUUUAUAUCAUUGAAAAAGUUCCAAAUUAUCUCCCUUGUUUG
Molecule: long non-coding RNA, 2582 nt
Organism: Mytilus trossulus (common blue mussel)
Lineage: Eukaryota; Metazoa; Mollusca; Bivalvia; Mytilida; Mytilidae
Exons: 3
Source: RefSeq, a predicted model, not a curated record